CACGUAGGGUGCGAGCGUUGUCCGGAAUUAUUGGGCGUAAAGAGCUCGUAGGCGGUGUGUCGCGUCGGCCGUGAAAACCUGGGGCUUAACUCUGGGCUUGCGGUCGAUACGGGCAUCACUGGAGUUCGGCAGGGGAGACUGGAAUUCCUGGUGUAGCGGUGAAAUGCGCAGAUAUCAGGAGGAACACCCGUGGCGAAAGCGGCUCCCUGGAACGGUACUGACGCUGAGACGCGAAAGCGUGGGGAGCGAACAGG
Molecule: ribosomal RNA, 254 nt
Filed under: uncultured bacterium
Lineage: Bacteria
Description: partial 16S ribosomal RNA
Rfam family: Bacterial small subunit ribosomal RNA
Source: RNAcentral